RNAcentral lists this long non-coding RNA (291 nucleotides) under Ictidomys tridecemlineatus (thirteen-lined ground squirrel). RNAcentral's name for it is "lncRNA (ENSSTOG00000034071.1)". Lineage: Eukaryota; Metazoa; Chordata; Mammalia; Rodentia; Sciuridae. The record is from RNAcentral.
CAGGAAGUUCUCGGGGAUCUUAAUGCGAUGGUUCUAACUUCACUGUUGGAGGACGUUCGCCGAGUGGCUCUGAGCCUCCUGCUAUCGAGGCGGGCCUCCUCCAGCUCCCGCAGGCGUGGUUGCUGUCCCUGUGUCCACUCGGGCCUCACUCGGGCCUCACGCCGGCCCUCCUCGGGGAAGCCCUCCCUGACUCCCCUCUGAAGGGCAGGAGCGUGGCUGCCUCCCUGCACCAGGACACCCAGGCGCUUGGCGGGCUGCUGGGCGGCCCCCACCUGGUCAGGUAGGGCUGUG